CUCUCCCUCUGUCGGCAGGCCUAACACAUGCAAGUCGAACGAACCUUUCGGGGUUAGUGGCGGACGGGUGAGUAACACGUGGGAACGUGCCUUUAGGUUCGGAAUAACUCAGGGAAACUUGUGCUAAUACCGAAUGUGCCCUUCGGGGGAAAGAUUUAUCGCCUUUAGAGCGGCCCGCGUCUGAUUAGCUAGUUGGUUGAGGUAAUGGCUCACCAAGGCGACGAUCAGUAGCUGGUCUGAGAGGAUGAUCAGCCACAUUGGGACUGAGACACGGCCCAAACUCCUACGGGAGGCAGCAGUGGGGAAUCUUGCGCAAUGGGCGAAAGCCUGACGCAGCCAUGCCGCGUGAAUGAUGAAGGUCUUAGGAUUGUAAAAUUCUUUCACCGGGGACGAUAAUGACGGUACCCGGAGAAGAGGCCCCGGCUAACUUCGUG
RNAcentral lists this ribosomal RNA (434 nucleotides) under uncultured bacterium. RNAcentral's name for it is "partial 16S ribosomal RNA". It matches the Rfam family "Bacterial small subunit ribosomal RNA", at positions 36 to 507 of the family's 1533-position model. The record is from RNAcentral.